UACGUAGGUGGCAAGCGUUGUCCGGAAUUAUUGGGCGUAAAGGGCGCGCAGGUGGUUUCUUAAGUCUGUCUUAAAAGUGCGGGGCUUAACCCCGUGAGGGGACGGAAACUGGGAGACUAGAGUAUCGGAGAGGAAAGCGGAAUUCCUAGUGUAGCGGUGAAAUGCGUAGAUAUUAGGAGGAACACCAGUGGCGAAAGCGGCUUUCUGGACGACAACUGACACUGAGGCGCGAAAGCCAGGGGAGCAAACGGG
RNAcentral lists this ribosomal RNA (252 nucleotides) under Megasphaera elsdenii DSM 20460. RNAcentral's name for it is "partial 16S ribosomal RNA". It matches the Rfam family "Bacterial small subunit ribosomal RNA", at positions 524 to 776 of the family's 1533-position model. Lineage: Bacteria; Bacillati; Bacillota; Negativicutes; Veillonellales; Veillonellaceae. The record is from RNAcentral.